RNAcentral lists this long non-coding RNA (772 nucleotides) under Anser cygnoides (Swan goose). RNAcentral's name for it is "lncRNA (ENSACDG00005007921.1)". The record is from RNAcentral. Lineage: Eukaryota; Metazoa; Chordata; Aves; Anseriformes; Anatidae.
CCCCCCCAUUUUGAGGCUAAAACCCCCCUUUUUGGGGCCAAGACCCCCCACUUUGGGGCCGAGGUGUCCGUUUUGAGGCCGGGGGCCUCCCCGUUUUGAGGCCGGGACUCCCAGUUUUGGGCCCAGGACCCCUGUUUUGAGGCCGGGGACCCCCUUUUUGGGGGGGCAGGAACACCGCUUUGGGGUCAAAACCCCCCAUUUCGGGGCCAAGACGCCCAUUUUGAGGCCAGGGACCUCUCCAUUUUGAGGCCGGGACUCUCAAUUUUGGGUGCAGAACACUCGUUUUGAGGCCGGAGAGCCCCUUUUUGGGGCUGAGAACCCGAUUUGGGGCCGGGGACCCCCUUUUUGGGGCUCAAAACCCUCCUUUUAGUGCCGGGGACCGCCAUCUGGUGUCGGGGACCCCCCCGUUUUGGGGUCAAACACUCCCGUUUUGGGGUCAGACCCCGCAUUUUGGGGCCGGGGACCCCCUAUUUAUUGCCGCGGGGCCGCGUUUCGGGGCCGUUCCCCUCGGUUUCAGGUUCUCGAUGACUUUCUUCGCCCCCUGCUCCUCGUCUCGCUGCUCUGUCCGGCCGCCGGCGGUUUCGGGGCUCCCCCGGGGGAAUUUGGGUGGUUUUGGGGCUCCCAGGAGGAAUUUGGGUGGUUUUGGGGCUCCCCCUGAAGAGUUUUGGUGGUUUCAAGGCGCCCCUGUGGGGAUUUUGGAGGUUUCGAGGCUCCCCGGGGGGGGGAUUUGGGUGGUUUUGGGGCUCCCCCAUAAAAGUUUUGGUGGUUUCGA